GUCUGUGGCCAAACCACCCCUAACGUGCCAGAUGCCGUCUGAUCUCGGAAGCUAAGCAGGGUCGGGCCUGGUUAGUACUUGGAUGGGAGACCACUUAGGAAUACCAGGUGCUGUAGGCG
This 119-nucleotide ribosomal RNA is filed under the name Pteropus alecto (black flying fox). Lineage: Eukaryota; Metazoa; Chordata; Mammalia; Chiroptera; Pteropodidae. The record is from RNAcentral.